Molecule: non-coding RNA, 108 nt
Organism: Mesorhizobium amorphae CCNWGS0123
Lineage: Bacteria; Pseudomonadati; Pseudomonadota; Alphaproteobacteria; Hyphomicrobiales; Phyllobacteriaceae
Source: Rfam
ACGCGGGCCGCGUCAGCCGGACCAGGUGGCAAAGGGAACAGGGUUGGUUUCUCCGGCUUCACACCCUGGCCAACGAAAUGGCAGUCGAGCUCUUGUCCCACCCGGCCC